CUAGAAGUUUGGUCCCGGCUUUAGUGUCAACUAAAACUAACCUUACACAUGCAAGUCUCCGCAGCCCAGUGACAAAGCCACCAACAUAAACACAGAGAGCUGAUAUCAGGCACAACAAAGUUAGCCAAAAACAUCUAGUUAUACCACACCCCCACGGGCAUACAGCAGUGAUAAACAUUAACGUAUGAGCACCAGCUCGACUUAGAUACAGUUAAUAAGCGUCGGUAAACCUCGUGCCAGCCACCGCGGUUAUACGAGGGACGAAAGUUGACACACACGGCGUAAAGAGUGAUAAAAACCUAUCCUACACCCAAGAUCAAAAAUUCACUAAGCUGUCAUAAGCAUUAGCGAAUCCUAUGCCCCAUGUACGAAAGUAGUCUUAAUAAACAGAUAUAUUUACAUCACGACAACUAAGACACAAACUGAGAUUAGAUACCUCACUAUGCUUAGUCGCAAAACUUACUCUUACACCUCUAUCACGCCAGAGCACUACGAGCGAUAGCUUAAAACUCAAAGGACUUGGCGGUGCCCUAAACCCCUCCAGAGGAGCCUGUUCUAUAAUCGAUACCCCACGUUAAACCUUACCACUCUUUGCCAUUUCAGCCUAUAUACCACCGUCGCCAGCUCACCCUUUGAGGGGACAGUAGUUAGCAGAAUGAGCAACCUCAAUACGUCAGGUCAAGGUGUAGCAAAUAGAGCGGAGAGAAAUGGGCUACAUUUUCUUAAAAAGAAUACUACGGAUAGCAUAAUGAAAACACCCCUGAAGGCGGAUUUGACAGUAAAUACAAAUAAUAAAGUUAUACUGAAACUGGCCAUAGGGCGCGCACACACCGCCCGUCACCCUCAUCAAGAAAUUAAUAACUUAAAUAAAACUUUCACAUUCUUUCAGACGAGGAAAGUCGUAACAUGGUAAGCGUACUAGAAAGUGCUCUUGGAUUAAU
Molecule: non-coding RNA, 941 nt
Filed under: Herpele squalostoma
Lineage: Eukaryota; Metazoa; Chordata; Amphibia; Gymnophiona; Herpelidae
Description: 12S ribosomal RNA
Rfam family: Bacterial small subunit ribosomal RNA
Source: RNAcentral